CCCUAGUAACUGCGAGUGAAGCGGGAAGAGCUCAAAUUUAAAAUCUGGCGGUCUUCUGAUUGUCCGAGUUGUAGUCUAGAGAAGUGUUAUCCGCGUCGGACCGUGUACAAGUCUCCUGGAAUGGAGCGUCAUAGAGGGUGAGAAUCCCGUCCAUGACACGGACGCCCGAUGCUUUGUGAGACACUCUCGAAGAGUCGAGUUGUUUGGGAAUGCAGCUCAAAAUGGGUGGUAAAUUCCAUCUAAAGCUAAAUAUUGGCGAGAGACCGAUAGCGAACAAGUACCGUGAGGGAAAGAUGAAAAGCACUUUGGAAAGAGAGUUAAACAGUACGUGAAAUUGUUGAAAGGGAAACGCUUGAAGUCAGUCGCGUCCCGUGGAACUCAGCCUGGCUUUGGCCUGGUGUACUUUCUAUGGGAUGGGUCAACAUCAGUUUCGGCCGGUGGAAAAAGGUUGGGGGGAAUGUAGCGCCGUUUCGGCGGCGUGUUAUAGCCCUCUGUUGUAUACACCGGCUGGGACUGAGGACCGCAGCACGCCCUUGUGGCCGGGGGUUCGCCCCACGUAACGUGCUUAGGAUGUUGGCGUAAUGGCUUUAAGCGACCCGUCUUGAAACACGGACCAAGGAGUCUAACAUGCUUGCGAGUGUUCGGGUGGAAAACUCUUGCGCGUAAUGAAAGUGAAAGUUGGGAACCUCCGCAAGGGGGUGCACCGACGCCCGGCCCUGACGUUCUCUGACGGUGCUGCGGUAGAGCAAGUAUGUUGGGACCCGAAAGAUGGUGAACUAUGCCUGAAUAGGGCGAAGCCAGAGGAAACUCUGGUGGAGGCUCGUAGCGAUUCUGACGUGCAAAUCGAUCGUCAAAUUUGGG
RNAcentral lists this ribosomal RNA (861 nucleotides) under Ochrosporellus puerensis. Its description in RNAcentral is "Inonotus puerensis partial large subunit ribosomal RNA". It matches the Rfam family "Eukaryotic large subunit ribosomal RNA", at positions 78 to 915 of the family's 3401-position model. Lineage: Eukaryota; Fungi; Basidiomycota; Agaricomycetes; Hymenochaetales; Hymenochaetaceae. The record is from RNAcentral.